Non-coding RNA from Pelobates fuscus (common spadefoot toad), 469 nucleotides. The record is from the annotation of a RefSeq genome assembly. Lineage: Eukaryota; Metazoa; Chordata; Amphibia; Anura; Pelobatidae.
GACAUUCAGAUACUUAUUUGAAGCCAGCAUACACCAGGAGGAAGCAAAACCAACCAGCCCCCAGCAGAGAGACAUUGAGAUGAAAAGACUACUCCGUGUGAUCUUCCUCCUGAAGAUUUUCUCAAGUCUGUCCCAUGCAGUGACCGUGACUCAGAACAAAGACUUUAUAUUGCUGACUGCUGGAAGCAGUAUGGAAGAAAUGUCCUGUACGCAUGAUGCCACCGGCAGCUACACUAUGCUCUGGUACCAGCAAAAACCAGGAGAAGGCUUGGUGCUUAUUGCAAUAUCAUUAUCAGAGGAUGAUGCCAACCCAGAAAAGGAUUUUAAGGAAACAUGGAUAAUUACUCGGCCAAGUAAUACAAAUUCUACGCUAAAACGGAAUGGGACAGUGAACAUCCAUGACUCUGCCACGUAUUACUGUGCAGCCAGUGACACAGCCAUAAGAAGCUGUGAGACAGCUAUCACAUAA